GGAUGGGAGGGCGAUCUGACUGCAACAUCUGUCACCCCAUUGAUCACCAGGGUCCAUUCGACUGAUCUGGCUGGCUAGGCGGGUGUCCCCUUCCUCCCUCACUGCUCCACGUGUGUCCCUCUCAAAGCCGCAUGCUUGGUUGAAGAGGACAAACUUCCCCGCUAGAGGAGGACUGUUCUUCAGUCAAGGGUAUACGAGUAGCUGCGUUUCCCUGCUUGAACCUCCAAACAAGCUCUCAAGGCCCAUUUGUAGGAGAACGUCGGGUAGUCAAGCUUCCAAGACUCCAGACACCUCCAAAUGAGGCACUGCAUUU
This 313-nucleotide small nuclear RNA is filed under the name Dasypus novemcinctus (nine-banded armadillo). RNAcentral's name for it is "7SK RNA (ENSDNOG00000028274.1)". It matches the Rfam family "7SK RNA". From Rfam's summary of the family: 7SK was discovered as an abundant small nuclear RNA in the mid-70s but a possible function has only recently been suggested. Lineage: Eukaryota; Metazoa; Chordata; Mammalia; Cingulata; Dasypodidae. The record is from RNAcentral.